This 421-nucleotide ribosomal RNA is filed under the name uncultured bacterium. RNAcentral describes it as "bacterial SSU rRNA". It matches the Rfam family "Bacterial small subunit ribosomal RNA", at positions 355 to 773 of the family's 1533-position model. The record is from RNAcentral.
UGAGGAAUAUUGGACAAUGGGCGCAAGCCUGAUCCAGCCAUGCCGCGUGCAGGAAGAAGCAUCUAUGGUGUGUAAACUGCUUUAGUACGGGAAGAAACACUCCUUCGUGAAGGAGCUUGACGGUACCGUAAGAAUAAGGAUCGGCUAACUCCGUGCCAGCAGCCGCGGUAAUACGGAGGAUCCAAGCGUUAUCCGGAAUCAUUGGGUUUAAAGGGUCCGUAGGCGGUUUAGUAAGUCGGUGGUGAAAGCCCAUCGCUCAACGAUGGAACGGCCAUUGAUACUGCUAGACUUGAAUUAUUGUGAAGUAACUAGAAUAUGUAGUGUAGCGGUGAAACGCUUAGAUAUUACAUAGAAUACCAAUUGCGAAGGCAGGUUACUACUAAUGGAUUGACGCUGAUGGACGAAAGCGUGGGGAGCGAAC